RNAcentral lists this ribosomal RNA (583 nucleotides) under uncultured Glomeromycotina. RNAcentral's name for it is "LSU rRNA". It matches the Rfam family "Eukaryotic large subunit ribosomal RNA", at positions 204 to 637 of the family's 3401-position model. Lineage: Eukaryota; Fungi; Glomeromycota. The record is from RNAcentral.
CAUGGAGGGUGAGAAUCCCGUCCGGUUGAUCAUUUGCGUUUUACGAUACGCUUUCUAAGAGUCAAGUUGUUUGGGAUUGCAGCUUAAAAUGGGAGGUAAAUUUCUCCUAAGGCUAAAUANNGGCGAGAGACCGAUAGCGAACAAGUACCGUGAGGGAAAGAUGAAAAGUACUUUGAAAAGAGAGUUAAAUAGUACGUGAAAUUGUUGAAAGGGAAACGAUUGAAGCCAGUCGUACUGACGGGUAAUCAACCUUUCUGGCGCGAUUAUUUGGACAUGUUGGAGCCUAACCGGUCCUCUUGUUUAUAUAUUCGUUCCCCUUGGGUGUACUUGCCCGUGUGGUAGGUUAACAUCAAUUUCAGACGUCAUAAAAUGACGGGAGGAAUGUAGCUUUGGUCUCGUACUGAAGUGUUAUAGACUCUGGUAGAUGUGACGUCUGGGAUUGAGGAUUGCAACGGAUACCUCUCGGGGCUAUCUGCCUGGCCUCUGAUGGUCGCUUUGGUGCUGAAAGCUUGCUUAUGGUUAUCGAAGUUGGUUGUCAAAAGGUUAGAGCGGGUUAAAUUCGUUAAGGAUGUUGACGUAAUGG